GAUGAACGCUAGCGGCAGGCUUAACACAUGCAAGUCGAGGGGCAACACGGGUAGCAAUACCUGGUGGCGACCGGCGCAAGGGUGCGUAACGCGUGAGCAACAUGCCCUAUACAGGGGGAUAAUCCAGGGAAACUUGGUCUAAUAUCCCAUAGUAUUUAGAGGUGGCAUCACCACUAAAUUAAAGCUUCGGUGGUAUAGGAUUGGCUCGCGUGACAUUAGCUGGAUGGUGGGGUAACGGCUCACCAUGGCGAUGAUGUCUAGGGGUUCUGAGAGGAAGACCCCCCACACUGGGACUGAGACACGGCCCAGACUCCUACGGGAGGCAGCAGUGAGGAAUAUUGGUCAAUGGGCGCAAGCCUGAACCAGCCAUGCCGCGUGCAGGAAGACGGUCCUAUGGAUUGUAAACUGCUUUUAUACAGGAAGAAACCUCCCUACGUGUAGGGACUUGACGGUACUGUAGGAAUAAGGAUCGGCUAACUCCGUG
This 484-nucleotide ribosomal RNA is filed under the name uncultured bacterium. Its description in RNAcentral is "bacterial SSU rRNA". It matches the Rfam family "Bacterial small subunit ribosomal RNA", at positions 28 to 507 of the family's 1533-position model. The record is from RNAcentral.